AGCAGCCGCGGUAAUUCCAGCUCCAAUAGCGUAUAUUAAAGUUGUUGCAGUUAAAAAGCUCGUAGUUGAAUUUCGGGAUUGACGUGAUGGUCGUGCCUUACGGGGUAUGAACUGUUGCAGUCAAUUUCUCACCUUCUGGAGAAAUAUGAUGUCCUUAAUUGGGUGUCAUAUGGAACCAGAACUUUUACCUUGAAAAAUUAGAGUGUUUAAAGCAGGCUUAUUGCUCGAAUACAUUAGCAUGGAAUAAUAAAAUAGGACGGCAUGGUUCUAUUUUGUUGGUUUCUAGGAUCACCGUAAUGAUUAAUAGGGAUAGUUGGGGGCAUUAGUAUUCAAUUGUCAGAGGUGAAAUUCUUGGAUUUAUUGAAGACUAACUACUGCGAAAGCAUUUGCCAAGGAUGUUUUCAUUAAUCAAGAACGAAAGUUAGGGGAUCGAAGACGAUCAGAUACCGUCGUAGUCUUAACCAUAAACUAUGCCGACUAGGAAUCAGACGAUGUUAAUUUUUAAUGUACUCGUUUGG
RNAcentral lists this ribosomal RNA (518 nucleotides) under uncultured Entrophospora. RNAcentral describes it as "SSU rRNA". It matches the Rfam family "Eukaryotic small subunit ribosomal RNA", at positions 569 to 1083 of the family's 1831-position model. The record is from RNAcentral. Lineage: Eukaryota; Fungi; Glomeromycota; Glomeromycetes; Entrophosporales; Entrophosporaceae.